RNAcentral lists this ribosomal RNA (253 nucleotides) under uncultured bacterium. RNAcentral describes it as "partial 16S ribosomal RNA". It matches the Rfam family "Bacterial small subunit ribosomal RNA", at positions 524 to 776 of the family's 1533-position model. The record is from RNAcentral.
UACGUAGGGUGCGAGCGUUAAUCGGAAUUACUGGGCGUAAAGCGUGCGCAGGCGGCUUUGCAAGACAGAUGUGAAAUCCCCGGGCUUAACCUGGGAACUGCAUUUGUGACUGCAUCGCUGGAGUGCGGCAGAGGGGGAUGGAAUUCCGCGUGUAGCAGUGAAAUGCGUAGAUAUGCGGAGGAACACCGAUGGCGAAGGCAAUCCCCUGGGCCUGCACUGACGCUCAUGCACGAAAGCGUGGGGAGCAAACAGG